AGAGUUUGAUCCUGGCUCAGGAUGCAACGCUAGCGGCAGGCUUAAUACAUGCAAGUCGAGGGGCAGCAGGAAUUGCAAUAUUUGCUGGCGACCGGCGCACGGGUGCGUAACACGUAUACAAUCUGCCUCUUACAGGGGGAUAGCCCGGAGAAAUCCGGAUUAAUACCCCAUAACAGUUGRUUCGGCAUCGAACUGAUUUGAAAGUUCYGACGGUAAGAGAUGAGUAUGCGUCUGAUUAGCUAGUUGGUGAGGUAACGGCUCAUCAAGGCAACGAUCAGUAGGGGAUCUGAGAGGACUACCCCCCACACUGGUACUGAGACACGGACCAGACUCCUACGGGAGGCAGC
Molecule: ribosomal RNA, 347 nt
Filed under: uncultured bacterium
Lineage: Bacteria
Description: bacterial SSU rRNA
Rfam family: Bacterial small subunit ribosomal RNA
Source: RNAcentral